UACGAAGGGGGCUAGCGUUGUUCGGAUUUACUGGGCGUAAAGCGCACGUAGGCGGAUCGAUCAGUCAGGGGUGAAAUCCCAGAGCUCAACUCUGGAACUGCCUUUGAUACUGUCGAUCUGGAGUAUGGAAGAGGUGAGUGGAAUUCCGAGUGUAGAGGUGAAAUUCGUAGAUAUUCGCAAGAACACCAGUGGCGAAGGCGGCUCACUGGCCCGGAACUGACGCUGAGACGCGAAAGCGUGGGGAGCAAACAGG
This 253-nucleotide ribosomal RNA is filed under the name uncultured bacterium. RNAcentral describes it as "partial 16S ribosomal RNA". It matches the Rfam family "Bacterial small subunit ribosomal RNA", at positions 524 to 776 of the family's 1533-position model. The record is from RNAcentral.